Molecule: unclassified non-coding RNA, 345 nt
Filed under: soil metagenome
Description: partial contains 5.8S ribosomal RNA, internal transcribed spacer 2, and large subunit ribosomal RNA
Rfam family: 5.8S ribosomal RNA (bases 1-120)
Source: RNAcentral
GAUGAAGAACGUAGCGAAAUGCGAUACGUAAUGUGAAUUGCAGAAUUCAGUGAAUCAUCGAGUCUUUGAACGCACAUUGCGCCCCCUGGUAUUCCGGGCGGCAUGCCUGUCCGAGCGUCAUUGCUGCCCUCAAGCACGGCUUGUGUGUUGGGCCUCCGUCCUCCUCCCGGGGGACGGGCCCGAAAGGCAGCGGCGGCACCGCGUCCGGUCCUCGAGCGUAUGGGGCUUCGUCACCCGCUCUUGUAGGCCCGGCCGGCGCUUGCCGACACAUCAAUCUUUUUUCCAGGUUGACCUCGGAUCAGGUAGGGAUACCCGCUGAACUUAAGCAUAUCAAUAAGCGGAGGA